Molecule: ribosomal RNA, 774 nt
Filed under: uncultured Neocallimastigales
Lineage: Eukaryota; Fungi; Neocallimastigomycota; Neocallimastigomycetes; Neocallimastigales
Description: partial large subunit ribosomal RNA
Rfam family: Eukaryotic large subunit ribosomal RNA
Source: RNAcentral
UAUGUGAUCGUCUCUCGCAUAUCAAUAAGCGGAGGAAAAGAAACUAACAAGGAUUCCCCUAGUAACGGCGAGUGAAGCGGGAAGAGCUCAAAUUUGAAAUCUUAAAGGGUUUCCCUUUACGAAUUGUAGUUUAAAGAAGUGUUUUCUGUUGAGGUUUUGGUAAAAGUUCUUUGGAAUAGGACAUCAUAGAGGGUGAGAAUCCCGUAUUUGACCUUUACUUUCAACUUUGUGAUACACUUCCAAAGAGUCGGAUUGUUUGGGAAUGCAGUCCAAAAUGGGUGGUAAAUUUCAUCUAAAGCUAAAUAUUGGCGAGAGACCGAUAGCGAACAAGUACCGUGAGGGAAAGAUGAAAAGAACUUUGAAAAGAGAGUUAAACAGUACGUGAAAUUGUCAAAAGGGAAGCGUUUGACACCAGUGUUGUUUUUCUGAAAAUCAAUUAAAGAACUGUUUAUGCUAAGCUGUUUAGACUUUAUCAGCUAUCUGUUUAGUUUUGAGCUCUUCUUUAAUGCACUUUUCAGUUAACAGGUCAACAUCAAUUUCUUUUGCUGUAAAAAAGCUUGAGGAAGGUGGCUUGAGAUUCGUCUUAAGUGUUUAUAGCCUCUUGCCUAUGCAGUCGGAGAGAUUGAGGUCUGCAGCGUAGAUCCUUCGGGGCUAAAUGCAUUUGUGCUAAGUUAUAGCAUUUUAUAGACAACUUGUUGACUAUGAUUUGUCUUGUAGCUUACUCGCUUAUGUUAUUUUACCUACGCUUAGGAUGUUGAGCGCAUGUCUCUCUCU